GGAGACAUGUGGCGAGGGUAAUUAGCUGCUACACACGUUAGGAGCUAAUUUAACACUAGACUGGUGAAAUGUCUAUUCAUUUAUAAAGAUAGAUGCAUUUAAUGAAAAACUGUCAAGACAAUUAUACUGGAAUUCAUUAAAGUAAAGACAUUUCAACCUGGUAUAAAAUGAGCUGAGCUUGUAUGUGAUAUAUGCAACAAUCCUUGGAGCUUUCAAAACAUACUUACAUAACUACGCCACGCCAAAAGACAUAAAAUGUUGAACGUGGUCAGCCUUGUCGUCAUGAGUCUCGCUCUUGGAUCAGUCUUGUGCUUUACAAGGAAUCGCAGAGCAGCUGAAACCGAGGAAGACUUUGCCAGGCAUACUAUUUCCCCAAGUCAGGCUCAGAUUCCCUGGAACACAGAUUUAGAUAUUUUUUACUCUCACACUCCAAGUGUAGACGAGGCACUAAAGAAUGCUUUGAUCACGGAAACGAAUGCGGAUGGAAGUGUUCCUCUUGUUGGAGAUUUGCUAGAGAGUACUUCAAAUAGCCCUCUCAAUGUUUUCCAAAGUCUUGUCGGUGGUUUACCUUUCGUCAGUGGUGCUCCGAGUGAUGUGCUGGGCGAUGUUUAGGUUCCGUCUGAUUCCAAAGGUGCAGGGCAACGUCUUGCCAAAGGGCAUUUCAUGGCACAAAAUACAUGUAAAGGAUAAGAAAUGAAAGCACUUCAACACAGAUUCAAGAGGAAAAUGUUUAGGAUUCAACAAAUAUAUUUGUAGACCAUAAGUAAUAAACUAAUAUAUAAUAUCA
Long non-coding RNA from Biomphalaria glabrata, 787 nucleotides. RefSeq lists it as uncharacterized. The transcript is spliced from 2 exons. The record is from RefSeq and is a predicted model, not a curated record. NCBI's taxonomy places the organism in Eukaryota, Metazoa, Mollusca, Gastropoda, Planorbidae.